GGUGUGCAAUGCAUUCUCUAGAAGACAGGAGACAGAUGUAGCUGCAUAUCCACAUAAAGGAGCCAGCAUGGUGUAGUGGUUAGAGUGCGGGACUAGGACCAAGGAGACCCGGGUUCAAAUCCCCAUUCAGCCAUGAAACUAGCUGGGUGACUCUGGGCCAGUCACUUCUCUCUCAGCCUAACCUACUUCUCAGGGUUGUUGUGAGGAGAAACUUCAGUAUGUAGUACACCACUCUGGGCUCCUUGGAGGAAGAGUGGGAUAGAAAAUGUUAAAAAUAAAAUAAAAUAAAAUAAAAUAAAUAAAUAAAAAUGAUUAGGUUGUGCUAAUCAGUUACUGGUGUAAUAGAGCUGAUCUAGCAUAGGGCCUAUGGAACUGAAUUACGAAUCACCAGGUAGUCUUGGCAACGUGGGAAUAAUUGUAUUUACCUAGCUGACAGAAACAAAUCAAAGCAGAGAGGCAAAAGACAGUGGCUGAGUUUGAACAACUGUGCCAGUUUCUAGAAUCUAGAACAACAGGAGAAGCUUCUGCUGACCCAGAUGGAAAAGGUGGAGGAAGAGAUUGCAAGAAGAAAGGAUGAACACAUGGCCAGACUCUCAGAGGAGCUCUCUUCUCUUGUGAGAUGGAGAAGCAUCGGAAGCCAUACAGUAAAUUCAUUCUGCAAGCUGGUUUAUCCUUGCCUCUCACCUGAACUGAGGCCAGUAAUCUGUAUUUCAUCCAAGACUUCAGAAUCUGGCACCCACAGCUCUUCGCCUUGUUCCAGUCGAGAGAUGAGAUCAGGCUUGGGAACCGGAAAUCCUGCUCAGGAAAAACCACAACAAAGAGGGUCACUUCUAUUUUUUAUUUAUUUUGUCUUUCCGUCACCCUCAAAAGCUUUCGAAGAGAAUCAAAGUGGAGCCAGUCUCUCUCCACUACCACCGUCCAUAAAGAGAAAUGCAAAACUAAAAGCAGCCUCGGACAAGUGCUACAGGCAGAUGUUUACAGUCCAACCCUAUGCACAUUUGUUUGCAAUUAAACCACCAUUGUUUCUAUAAGGCUUUCUCCCAAACAAGGGUACACAGAACUGCAGUUUUAUAUUGUGUUUUCUGAGCGUUCAGAAGGUUACAUACAAAUUAGACACAAAGGGAGCAGCCACCAUCGCCGUCAUUCAAGCUCUAAGAAGGACACCCAAUUUCCGCCCCUUUCCCCUCCUCACCACCAUUCACGAAACGUGCGGGAUUCAGACGAUGCUCUUCCGUGCUACUUACUGCUGAAACAACCUGCAGACAAAACCCUCCCGCCUUUGUCCGGGCGGGGACCACAUGCAGUGUAGCGCCUUCCCAAGAUCCUUGUAGACAGCAGCCAAUCACUCAGCCCACUCUCUCGUCUCAGCCAACCAGACUGCGGCAUGACAAGGACUCCAGCAGCUGGGAAUGACAAAUCCUUCCUCUCUCUCUCAUCAAGUAAAAAGCCACAAUGCAGAGGACUGUGGGAAUGGUAGUUCUUUCUUCCAAGUAUUUAACAUUUUGUUAAUAAGCUGGAGGCGGAAGGCGAGGUUGAAGAUGUGUCAAACCGUGCGGA
Long non-coding RNA from Hemicordylus capensis (graceful crag lizard), 1557 nucleotides. RefSeq lists it as uncharacterized. The record is from RefSeq and is a predicted model, not a curated record. NCBI's taxonomy places the organism in Eukaryota, Metazoa, Chordata, Lepidosauria, Squamata, Cordylidae. The transcript is spliced from 4 exons.